CCCUUAGAUGUUCUGGGCCGCACGCGUGCUACACUGAGUGGAUCAGCGGGUCAGGUUGCGCGAAAGUGUUUCCUAAUCUUUAAAUCCGCUCGUGAUGGGGAUUGACGGUUGCAAUUUUCCGUCAUGAACGAGGAAUACCUUGUAAGCGCGGGUCAUCAUCCCGCGCUGAAUACGUCCCUGCCCUUUGUACACUCCGCCCGUCGCUCCUACCGAUUGAGUGGUCCGGUGAGGCUUUGGGAUCUGAGCGGAAAGAGCGUUUCGCUGUUUCUGCCCGGAAAACUCAGUCGAACCUUAUCAUUUAGAGGAAGGAGAAGUCGUAACA
This 322-nucleotide ribosomal RNA is filed under the name uncultured eukaryote. Its description in RNAcentral is "partial 18S ribosomal RNA". It matches the Rfam family "Eukaryotic small subunit ribosomal RNA", at positions 1470 to 1796 of the family's 1831-position model. The record is from RNAcentral.